This 465-nucleotide ribosomal RNA is filed under the name uncultured bacterium. RNAcentral describes it as "partial 16S ribosomal RNA". It matches the Rfam family "Bacterial small subunit ribosomal RNA", at positions 28 to 507 of the family's 1533-position model. The record is from RNAcentral.
GACGAACGCUGGCGGCGUGCUUAACACAUGCAAGUCGAACGGAAAGGCCCCUUUGGGGGUACUCGAGUGGCGAACGGGUGAGUAACACGUGAGUAACCUGCCCUUGACUUCGGGAUAACUUCAGGAAACUGGGGCUAAUACCGGAUAGGAAUCCUUGCUGCAUGGUGGGGGUUGGAAAGCUUCGGCGGUUUUGGAUGGACUGGCGGCUUAUCAGCUUGUUGGUGGGGUAGUGGCUUACCAAGGCGUUGACGGGUAGCCGGCCUGAGAGGGCGACCGGCCACAUUGGGACUGAGAUGCGGCACAGACGCCUACGGGAGGCAGCAGUGGGGAAUAUUGAACAAUGGGCGGAAGCCUGAUGCAGCAACGCCGCGUGCGGGAUGACGGCCUUCGGGUUGUAAAACGCUUUCAGCAGGGGCGAAGCUUGUGGUGACGGUACCUGAAGAAGAAGCACCGGCUAACUACGUG